This 1080-nucleotide long non-coding RNA is filed under the name Piliocolobus tephrosceles (Ugandan red Colobus). RNAcentral's name for it is "lncRNA (ENSPTEG00000009342.1)". Lineage: Eukaryota; Metazoa; Chordata; Mammalia; Primates; Cercopithecidae. The record is from RNAcentral.
GGGUGGUAAUAUAACCCCAAAAAAGAAUCAGGUGUAUAAUAAUAAUUUUUUAAUGAGAGAUCUUACAUGUACUAACAUGUUCAACAGCCGUAUCGACAUGCUCAACAACCGCACCGACAUGCUCAACAGUCGUAUCGACACCCUAAACAGACUUACUAGCUUGCCAAAAAAAAAUAAACAAAACACACAGUACACAUACAUCAAUAUAGAUGUAAAAACAAAACAAAAAUUUAUUAAGAAAUUAAAAAAGUUAUAUACAUACUACUAUUACUGUAAAUGUCUAAACGAACUGUACAUAAAAUGUAAACAAAAUUGUAUUGAUUAUAAUAAUAAUAACUAUUGGGAUAUUUUUAAAAAUAUAUAUAAUUUGUACAAACAUAUGAAUAAAAUGUAUUCCACAAACCUAUCCAACAUGAAUACAAAAAAAGAACAACUAUCAAUAUAUCAUAACAUCGAAAUGGAAAAUAUUAUAAACGAGAAAAAUAUAAGCACAAAAAAUGAAGAAUACCAACAAAAAAUUAAUGAUUUAGUAUAUAAACACAUAGCUGAAAAAAAAGCAUUAUGUAGACAUAUAGAAUACGAAUUAAAUAAUAUGCAACAUUUAAAUAUAAAACAAUAUAAAGAAAAUGUACUUAACAUUUUUAAUAUCAUGCAAAAUAAAAAAUACAAGUUAAUGUUACCUGUGUUACCUACAGAGGAAGAUAAAUGUGGACAUACGACAUGUAAUGACAAAAGUGAUAGUUGUAAUAACAAUCUUGGCGUACAUAGCGACACUUACGACAAUUGUGACAACCGUCACAAUUGCGACAAUUGCAACAAUUGCAACAAUUGCAACAGUUGCAACAAUAACGGCAAACAUGCUACCUACCUGAUGAACAAUUUUAAUUUUUUUUAUUUUUACAAAUUAAUCAAAAGCAAUGUAACUGUACUUAAAUAUCUUCAUUUUUAUCUCAAAAAUUCUAUGCAUAAUAACAUGGACAUUACUAUAAUUUUUAGUCUUGGAGAAGUGGCUCAUAUAUUUGAAAAAAACAAUAAACACAAAAAUAAGAAGAUAAAAAAAAAAUUAAAAAAAAUAUUAAA